This 515-nucleotide ribosomal RNA is filed under the name uncultured bacterium. RNAcentral's name for it is "partial 16S ribosomal RNA". It matches the Rfam family "Bacterial small subunit ribosomal RNA", at positions 28 to 523 of the family's 1533-position model. The record is from RNAcentral.
GAUGAACGCUGGCGGCGUGCCUAAUACAUGCAAGUCGAGCGAAUGGAUUAAGAGCUUGCUCUUAUGAAGUUAGCGGCGGACGGGUGAGUAACACGUGGGUAACCUGCCCAUAAGACUGGGAUAACUCCGGGAAACCGGGGCUAAUACCGGAUAACAUUUUGAACCGCAUGGUUCGAAAUUGAAAGGCGGCUUCGGCUGUCACUUAUGGAUGGACCCGCGUCGCAUUAGCUAGUUGGUGAGGUAACGGCUCACCAAGGCAACGAUGCGUAGCCGACCUGAGAGGGUGAUCGGCCACACGGAGACUGAGACACGGACCAGACUCCUACGGGAGGCAGCAGUAGGGAAUCUUCCGCAAUGGACGAAAGUCUGACGGAGAAACGCCGCGUGAGUGAUGAAGGCUUUCGGGUCGUAAAACUCUGUUGUUAGGGAAGAACAAGUGCUAGUUGAAUAAGCUGGCACCUUGACGGUACCUAACCAGAAAGCCACGGCUAACUACGUGCCAGCCGCCGCGGUAA